This 484-nucleotide ribosomal RNA is filed under the name uncultured bacterium. Its description in RNAcentral is "partial 16S ribosomal RNA". It matches the Rfam family "Bacterial small subunit ribosomal RNA", at positions 29 to 507 of the family's 1533-position model. The record is from RNAcentral.
AUUGAACGCUGGCGGCAUGCUUUACACAUGCAAGUCGAACGGCAGCGCGGGCUUCGGCCUGGCGGCGAGUGGCGAACGGGUGAGUAAUACAUCGGAACGUGCCCAGUAGUGGGGGAUAGCUCGGCGAAAGCCGGAUUAAUACCGCAUACGACCUGAGGGUGAAAGCGGGGGAUCUUCGGACCUCGCGCUAUUGGAGCGGCCGAUGGCAGAUUAGCUAGUUGGUGGGGUAAAGGCCUACCAAGGCGACGAUCUGUAGCUGGUCUGAGAGGACGACCAGCCACACUGGGACUGAGACAUGGCCCAGACUCCUACGGGAGGCAGCAGUGGGGAAUUUUGGACAAUGGGCGAAAGCCUGAUCCAGCAAUGCCGCGUGUGUGAUGAAGGCCUUCGGGUUGUAAAGCACUUUUGGCGGGAACGAAAAGGACUGUGCCAAUACCACGGUUCGAUGACGGUACCCGCAGAAUAAGCACCGGCUAACUACGUG